GACGAACGCUGGCGGCGUGCUUAACACAUGCAAGUCGAACGGAAAGGCCCUGCUUUUGUGGGGUGCUCGAGUGGCGAACGGGUGAGUAACACGUGAGUAACCUGCCCUUGACUUUGGGAUAACUUCAGGAAACUGGGGCUAAUACCGGAUAGGAGCUCCCGCUGCAUGGUGGGGGUUGGAAAGUUUCGGCGGUUGGGGAUGGACUCGCGGCUUAUCAGCUUGUUGGUGGGGUAGUGGCUUACCAAGGCUUUGACUGGUAGCCGGCCUGAGAGGGUGACCGGCCACAUUGGGACUGAGAUACGGCCCAGACUCCUACGGGAGGCAGCAGUGGGGAAUAUUGCACAAUGGGCGGAAGCCUGAUGCAGCAACGCCGCGUGCGGGAUGACGGCCUUCGGGUUGUAAACCGCUUUCGCCUGUGACGAAGCGUGAGUGACGGUAAUGGGUAAAGAAGCACCGGCUAACUACGUG
This 468-nucleotide ribosomal RNA is filed under the name uncultured bacterium. Its description in RNAcentral is "partial 16S ribosomal RNA". It matches the Rfam family "Bacterial small subunit ribosomal RNA", at positions 28 to 507 of the family's 1533-position model. The record is from RNAcentral.